UACGGAAGGCAGCAGUGGGGAAUAUUGCACAAUGGGCGAAAGCCUGAUGCAGCUAUGCCGCGUGUAUGAAGAAGGCCUUAGGGUUGUAAAGUACUUUCAUCGGGGAGGAAAAAACAAAACUAAUAAUUUUAUUUCUUGACGUUACCCGAAAAAGAAGCACCGGCUAACUCCGUGCCAGCAGCCGCGGUAAUACGGAGGGUGCUAGCGUUAAUCAGAAUUACUGGGCGUAAAGAGCACGUAGGUGGUUUUUUUAAGUCAGAUGUGAAAUCCCUGGGCUUAACCUGGAACUGCAUUUUGAAACUGAAAUACUAGAGUAUCGUAGAGGGAGGUAGAAUUCUAGGUGUAGCGGUGAAAUGCGUAGAUAUCUGGAGGAAUACCUGUGGCGAAAGCGGCCUCCUAAACGAAUACUGACACUGAGGGUGCGAAAGCGUGGGGAGCAAACGAGGGAUUAGAUACC
This 457-nucleotide ribosomal RNA is filed under the name uncultured bacterium. Its description in RNAcentral is "bacterial SSU rRNA". It matches the Rfam family "Bacterial small subunit ribosomal RNA", at positions 340 to 786 of the family's 1533-position model. The record is from RNAcentral.